This 48-nucleotide non-coding RNA is filed under the name Schistosoma margrebowiei. The record is from RNAcentral. Lineage: Eukaryota; Metazoa; Platyhelminthes; Trematoda; Strigeidida; Schistosomatidae.
AUCCAAUUGAUGAGUCCCAUAUAGGACGAAACACGCAUCAAAUUGGAU